Alligator mississippiensis (American alligator) is the source of this 2342-nucleotide RNA transcript. It is a transcript of the gene named polyamine oxidase, with no coding region annotated. The record is from RefSeq and is a predicted model, not a curated record. NCBI's taxonomy places the organism in Eukaryota, Metazoa, Chordata, Crocodylia, Alligatoridae. The transcript has 8 exons.
CCGGCGCCAUUCGCGCGGCUGCGGCGGUGCGGGGCCCGGCGGAUGGAGGCGGCUGGCGAUCUCCGGCGGCCCUCGCCCUGGCCCCGGCCCCGGGUGCUCGUGGUGGGCGCGGGGAUCGCGGCGCUGGGGGCGGCCCAGCGGCUCCACGGCUCCCAGCGCUUCCCCGGGCUGCGCCUGCUGGAGGCCACUGGCCGGGCCGGCGGCCGCGUCUGCUCCCAGCGCUUCGGGAGUAGAGUGGUUGAGAUUGGAGCCCACUGGAUUCAUGGCCCCUCUAAAGGAAACCCUGUCUUCCAGCUAGCUUCUGAGUAUGGCCUGCUGGAUGAGGAAGCCACAUCAGAGGAGAACCAGCAGAUUGAGACUGGGGGGCAUCCAGUCCUCCCCUCUCUGUCCUAUUCGAGCUCAGGGAGAAUCUUGAGCCCAGAGCUGGUGAUCUCAAUGAGGAAUCUGUUUUCUACCCUCUUGGGUCAAACGCACAUGUUCCUGAACUUGGCACAGGUGCCUGUGCCAAGUGUUGGUGAGUACCUCAAGAAAGAGAUUGCUGAGCAAGUGAAAGAAUGGACAGAUGAUGAUGAUGAAACCAAGCAGCUGAAACUGGCAGUCCUGAACACAUACUUCAAGCUGGAGUGCUGCGUGAGUGGGACCCACAGUAUGGACUUGGUUGCCCUGAGGUCUUUUGGGGAGUAUGUCACACUCCCUGGCCUGGACUGCACCUUCCCUGGUGGCUACGGAGGCCUCAUAGACUGCAUGCUGGCAUCCCUGUCCAAGGAGAGCAUCUUGUUUAACAAACCAGUGAAGACCAUUCACUGGAGAGGCUCCUACCAAGAGGAGGGCUCAGAGGGACGGACAUUCCCAGUCCAGGUGGAGUGUGAGGAUGGAGAGACAUUCCUAGCAGAUCAUGUCAUAGUCACAGUCCCUCUAGGUUUCCUUAAAGAGCAUCACAAGACUUUUAUUCAGCCCUCGCUGCCUCUGCAGAAAGUGGAAGCAAUUAACCAGCUGGGUUUUGGAACAAACAAUAAGAUCUUCCUGGAGUUUGAGAAGCCAUUCUGGGACCCAGACUGCCAGCUAAUCGAGGUUGUCUGGGACGAUGAGUCUCCUCUUGCUGCACCUAGCACCAACCUCCAGGCUGACUGGUUCAAAAAGCUCGUCGGCUUUGUGGUCCUCCAGCCUCCAGAACAGUAUGGGCAUGUUCUAUGUGGCUUUAUUGCUGGGAAGGAAUCUGAAUACAUGGAGACCCUCAGUGACAGUGAAGUUCUCACUGCCUUUACACACAUCAUUCGUAAACUGACAGGGAACCACCACCUGGCUCCGCCAACAAAGGUGCUGAGAUCUAAGUGGCACAGUGCUCCAUACACCAGAGGUUCCUACAGUUACGUGGCUGUUGGCAGCUCAGGAGAAGACAUUGACACACUGGCUCAGCCCCUUCCCGAGGAGACCUCUGACCCCAGGCUACUGCAGGUUCUGUUUGCGGGAGAAGCCACACAUCGGACUUUUUACUCCACUACGCAUGGCGCCUUGCUGUCAGGCUGGCGGGAGGCUGAUCGCCUCCUCAGCCUGUAUGACGCCUCCGAACUCCACCAGCCCAAGCCAAGGCUCUGACACUGCUUCUCUUCCUGCUCUUGGUCUUGGGGUUCCAGUCAUCUGACCAGUGACUACUUUCAUCCCACAUCUUUACUAAGAAUCAGCUGCUAGAUGCAGGGGAAGAAGCACCUAGCACUACUGGCAGUGGGGCCCCAAGGACAGUUCCAUCUGCUGCAGAUAUACUCCAUAUGUGCCAGCUCUGUCAGUACUGGAGCCAGGAUCCAACAGCUCUCCUCCACCGCCAGUCACCAUCUCUGAGGAAUGGCUCAAGCGGAGUUGGACCUGGCAGUGCAAGUACAGCAGAAUGGGGAAAGCCUCAGAACAGGCAGACUCUGAGGACUGCAUAGCACACCAUGCCCUUCUGCAGAGGCUAGCGGAGGCCCAGGAGGUGGUACCCAGCACAAGGUAGUGCAUUGGGCAGCAGCCGCCAGCAAGGAGAACUGGCAUGUCAUUGACAUGGUGCUGGCCCUGGCAGGAGGAGGGGAAGCGGGCUGAGCAGGCUGGACAGCCUUGCUGCAGCAUAUGAACCUGAGGUGGCGUUUAGAGGCUGGGAUACUGGGCACCUCCCUCCCAGCUCUAAGCGAAUCCUCCCCACUGUUUGCCUUCUGACACGUGUCAAUAAACUGUACAUAGUUUCAUGGGGAUGAGGAUAAUUUAUUGGUGGUACACUUUGUGGUUAGGGGGAGGUCUGUUGUUGGUGAGGAGGAAAGGAAGGGGUCUGUUGUUCUAUUGUGGAAGGAAUAAAGUUUGGACUUUGUUACAAA